This 497-nucleotide ribosomal RNA is filed under the name uncultured bacterium. Its description in RNAcentral is "partial 16S ribosomal RNA". It matches the Rfam family "Bacterial small subunit ribosomal RNA", at positions 28 to 507 of the family's 1533-position model. The record is from RNAcentral.
GAUGAACGCUGGCGGCGUGCCUAAUACAUGCAAGUCGAGCGAACGGACGAGAAGCUUGUUCCUCUGCUGUUAGCGGCGGACGGGUGAGUAACACGUGGAUAACCUACCUAUAUGACUGGGAUAACUUCGGGAAACCGGAGCUAAUACCGGCUAAUAUUUUCAACCGGAUGGUUCAAAAGUGAAAGACGGCCUUGCUGUCACUUAUAGAUGGAUCCGGGCUGCAUUAGCUAGUUGGUAAGGUAACGGCUUACCAAGGCAACGAUGCAUAGCCGACCUGAGAGGGUGAUCGGCCACACUGGAACUGAGACACGGUCCAGACUCCUACGGGAGGCAGCAGUAGGGAAUCUUGCGCAAUGGGCGAAAGCCUGACGGAGCAACGCCGCGUGAGUGAUGAAGGUCUUCGGAUCGUAAAACUCUGUUAUUAGGGAAGAACAUAUGUGUAAGUAACUGUGCACAUCUUGACGGUACCUAAUCAGAAAGCCACGGCUAACUACGUG